AAACACACCAAAGAAUAAAACUCAUAAUUGUAGAAUCUUUACUCAAACACCAAGGCAUCCCCCAAUACUUCGUACGAAUACAAAUACGCUUCUCCACCUCCACCUCCACCUCGCCUACCCAAAUCCAAACUUCUGAAUUGAAUCUAAAAAUCCAAUCAAUGGAAUCAAAUCAGGUCGUGAUGGAGCAUAACGCAUGUGGGAUGAUAUCUUGUGACAAGAUUGAUCGGAUGGCUAAUUGGGUUGGAAAUAGCGUUGCGUCGGCGUUUUUCACCUCACUCGAACGCUGUUCAUGCAUCAAUCUCAGCACCUCUCAUGACGAUUUUGACGAAGGAGACGAUGAAGAAGAGGCAAAAGAUCGUCCGCUCAUGCUCACAAAACCUGUCAUCUUCGUUGAUGAGUCUCACCGUGAACCCACUAAGGUUCCUCCUGUGUAAUUGUGGUUUUAAAGUCGGAUGCUCGUGUAUCUAACUUUGGUUUGCUUGGGUAACAACUUUAAUUAGGUUUAAUUUCAUUGUAUUUCUAUACAGUCUUGCUAAUAUUUUGUUUUGUUAGGAUCUCUAUUUUAACCUGUGCUAACAGGUUACUUUUUAUUAAUUGUUCAUCAAGGGGUGUUCGGAUAGGAAAAAAAAGAGGGAGGUUAUUGCUUAUUCCCACCAUAAGUUAUAUUCUCAUGUCUGUGUGUGUUUGAAUUGGAGCUCUUAGAAGGAGAAUGACAAAGUCUUUGUUUAUGAAAUCCAGUGUUUGUGAGAUUAGCAAUGGUAUAUAUGUAUAUUUUUGGUUUUGGGGAUUUUAUCAAGUAUAAGAGUUUUCCUUCAAAUUGUGCACCUACCCGUUUGCAGAUGACUUUGUUCAACACACACCCUCAUAUGGAUGUUUUUUUUUUGUGUGUGUGUGAAUCUAAGCGCAUAGGUGUAUUGAAUAUUUGUUGUUUGUGUUGUGUUCUGGUGUAUAUUUUUUGAUUUAGGAUUGUAAGUAAGUGGAGAAAUUUGUGUGAGAAUUAUUAUGAUUUUUGAGGGAUAUAUGGUUGAAGGAAGUAUGCAUAUGAAGUUGAGUUGAUAGUUUAGAUGAUAUAAUGAUUAUGAAAAGUUUUAUAUA
Molecule: long non-coding RNA, 1095 nt
Organism: Lactuca sativa (garden lettuce)
Lineage: Eukaryota; Viridiplantae; Streptophyta; Magnoliopsida; Asterales; Asteraceae
Source: RefSeq, a predicted model, not a curated record